CAGUAGCCACGGGAAUACGGAGGGUGCAAGCGUUAAUCGGAAUUACUGGGCGUAAAGCGUGCGUAGGCGGUUUGUUAAGUCUGCUGUGAAAUCCCCGGGCUCAACCUGGGAAUGGCAGUGGAUACUGGCAAGCUAGAGUGUGUCAGAGGAUGGUGGAAUUCCCGGUGUAGCGGUGAAAUGCGUAGAGAUCGGGAGGAACAUCAGUGGCGAAGGCGGCCAUCUGGGACAACACUGACGCUGAGGCACGAAAGCGUGGGGAGCAAACAGGAUUAGAUACCCCUGUAGUCCCUGUCUCUUAUAC
Molecule: ribosomal RNA, 301 nt
Filed under: uncultured bacterium
Lineage: Bacteria
Description: partial 16S ribosomal RNA
Rfam family: Bacterial small subunit ribosomal RNA
Source: RNAcentral